RNAcentral lists this ribosomal RNA (798 nucleotides) under Triticum aestivum (bread wheat). RNAcentral's name for it is "partial small subunit ribosomal RNA". The record is from RNAcentral. Lineage: Eukaryota; Viridiplantae; Streptophyta; Magnoliopsida; Poales; Poaceae.
CUGAUACGUGAUACCUUCAUUGCUCCCGACGCUGCAGCAAUUUUGAACAUACCUUUGCGGACUGGUGGAGGAGAGGAUUUCUUGGCCUGGGCUUAUGAAAAAACAGGUUUCUACACUGUCAAAUCAUCGUACCGUGCUCUAAUGAUUCAUAAUGAGCGAUCUGCUCUAGAAGAAGGGGCGGCUACAAGCACUUCCAUCUCGAAUGAACAGCUGUGGAAAUCUCUGUGGAAACUAAAUGUAGUGCCAAAGAUCCGUGUUUUCUGGUGGAGAGUCAUUCGUGGGAUCUUACCAGAUGAGAAAACCCUACAUCGACGGCACAUUCGUGUUACUAGUCGAAGCAAACUCUGUUUGGCAGACGAGGAGGACUUGAUGCAUGCACUCAUACACUGUUCUCAUGCCAGGAGCUUUUGGGACGAAGCUGAGAAGUGGUUUGACUUCAAACUACCUCGCCUUCAUCCAACCACUUGGGCGCGAGACAUUAUGAGCGACCCAAUCAUUCUGAAUGGAGACCGGGCGAAGAUUGUGUCAGUUAUGUGGUCUAUUUGGCACUCAAGGAACCGGUGGACACAUGAUGAAGAACACUUGGAUCUGGCAAACUCGCUACAGAUUAUUCGAGAGACAUUGGCGAUCCUGGAAUUACCUAAGGAUCUCGCCCUAGCUCUUCCUGGCUUUGGUUGGCUUCCCCCGGAUGAUGACAGUGUUAAGAUUAAUACGGAUGCGGGUAUUGACAGUAUCCGGGAGCAAGGGGGCGGGUGGGGUUGCCCGUUCAGCCACUGGCUUUUUAGGAGCAUGGUGUAA